Molecule: ribosomal RNA, 2902 nt
Filed under: Clostridium perfringens
Lineage: Bacteria; Bacillati; Bacillota; Clostridia; Eubacteriales; Clostridiaceae
Description: 23S ribosomal RNA
Rfam family: Bacterial large subunit ribosomal RNA
Source: RNAcentral
UCAAGCUACAAAGGGCGCAUGGUGAAUGCCUUGGUAUCAGGAGCCGAUGAAGGACGUGAUAAGCUGCGAUAAGCUUCGGGUAGGCGCACAUAGCCUGAGAUCCGAAGAUCUCCGAAUGAGGAAACUCACAUGGGAAACCCCAUGUAUCAUUAAGUGAAUACAUAGCUUAAUGAAGGUAACCCAGGGAACUGAAACAUCUAAGUACCUGGAGGAAGAGAAAGAAAAAUCGAUUUUCUUAGUAGCGGCGAGCGAAAGGGAAAAAGCCCAAACCGGAAACUUGUUUCCGGGGUUGUGGACAGAACAUAACGAUUGGUAGGACGUAAUCGAAGAGAACUGGAAAGUUCCACCGUAGAAGGUAAUAGUCCUGUAGAUGAAACGGGAAAUCAAUCAGUUCUGAUCCAGAGUACCACGAGACACGUGAAACCUUGUGGGAAGCAGGGAGGACCACCUCCCAAGGCUAAAUACUACCUGAUGACCGAUAGUGAAGCAGUACCGUGAGGGAAAGGUGAAAAGAACCCCGGGAGGGGAGUGAAAUAGAACCUGAAACCGUGUGCCUACAACCGCUCAGAGCCCCUUAUGAGGGUGAUGAGGUGCUUUUUGUAGAACGAGCCAACGAGUUACGGUAUGUAGCAAGGUUAAGUACUUAAGGUACGGAGCCGAAGGGAAACCGAGUCUGAAUAGGGCGACUAGUUGCAUGCCGUAGACCCGAAACCGGGUGACCUAUCCAUGGCCAGGUUGAAGCGAGGGUAAAACCUCGUGGAGGACCGAACCACGUUGCUGUUGAAAAAGCAUGGGAUGAGCUGUGGAUAGCGGAGAAAUUCCAAUCGAACCCGGAGAUAGCUGGUUCUCUCCGAAAUAGCUUUAGGGCUAGCGUCGAGUAUGAGUAGUGGAGGUAGAGCACUGAAUGGGCUAGGGGGCAUAGCGCUUACCGAACCUUAUCAAACUCCGAAUGCCACAUACUUUGAGCUCGGCAGUCAGACUACGAAUGAUAAGAUCCGUGGUCAAAAGGGAAACAGCCCAGAUCGUCAGCUAAGGUCCCAAAGUGUAAGUUAAGUGGGAAAGGAUGUGAGAUUUCUAAGACAACUAGGAUGUUGGCUUAGAAGCAGCCAUUCAUUAAAAGAGUGCGUAAUAGCUCACUAGUCGAGAGAUCUUGCGCCGAAAAUGUAACGGGGCUAAACUUACCACCGAAGCUACGGGCUUGAACUUAGUUCAAGCGGUAGGAGAGCGUCGUAACCGGGCUGAAGUCGUACCGUAAGGAGCGGUGGACUGGUUACGAGUGAGAAUGUUGGCAUCAGUAGCGAGAUGUGGGUGAGAAUCCCACAGGCCGAAAACCUAAGGUUUCCUCAGGAAGGUUCGUCCGCUGAGGGUUAGUCGGGACCUAAGCCGAGGCCGAAAGGCGUAGGUGAUGGACAACUGGUUGAUAUUCCAGUACCACUACCAUCGUUAUUAUCGAUGGCGUGACGCAGGAGGAUAGUGUGUGCUAGCUAUUGGAUGCUAGUCUAAGCGUUUAGGCAGUGAGAGUAGGCAAAUCCGCUCUCAUAAUGCUGAGGCGUGAUGGGGAAGGUUCUACGGAACCGAAGUACAUGAUUCCACGCUGCCAAGAAAAGCGUCUAGAGAGAGAAGUAGUGCCCGUACCGCAAACCGACACAGGUAGGUGAGGAGAGAAUCCUAAGGCCGGCGGAAGAAUUACAGUUAAGGAACUCGGCAAAUUGACCCCGUAAGUUCGCGAGAAGGGGUGCCUACGAGAGUAGGCCGCAGAGAAUAGGCCCAAGCAACUGUUUAGCAAAAACACAGGUCUCUGCUAAAGCGUAAGCUGAUGUAUAGGGGCUGACGCCUGCCCGGUGCUGGAAGGUUAAGGGGAACACUUAGCGUAAGCGAAGGUGUGAACUUAAGCCCCAGUAAACGGCGGCCGUAACUAUAACGGUCCUAAGGUAGCGAAAUUCCUUGUCAGGUAAGUUCUGACCCGCACGAAUGGCGUAAUGACUUGGGCACUGUCUCAACUGUAAAUCCGGCGAAGUUGUAGUGCGAGUGAAGAUGCUCGCUACCCGCGAUUGGACGGAAAGACCCCGUAGAGCUUUACUGUAGCUUAGCAUUGAGUUUUGGUAUUGUCUGUACAGGAUAGGUGGGAGACUAGGAAACCAGGGCGUCAGCCUUGGUGGAGUCAACCUUGGGAUACCACCCUGACAGUACUGAAAUUCUAACUGGCGGCCAUGAAUCUGGUCACAGGACAUUGUUAGGUGGGCAGUUUGACUGGGGCGGUCGCCUCCUAAAAAGUAACGGAGGCGCCCAAAGGUUCCCUCAGAACGGUCGGAAAUCGUUCGAAGAGUGCAAAGGCAGAAGGGAGCCUGACUGCGACACCCACAAGUGGAGCAGGGACGAAAGUCGGGCUUAGUGAUCCGGUGGUACCUCGUGGGAGGGCCAUCGCUCAACGGAUAAAAGCUACCUCGGGGAUAACAGGCUGAUCUCCCCCAAGAGUCCACAUCGACGGGGAGGUUUGGCACCUCGAUGUCGGCUCGUCGCAUCCUGGGGCUGAAGUAGGUCCCAAGGGUUGGGCUGUUCGCCCAUUAAAGCGGCACGCGAGCUGGGUUCAGAACGUCGUGAGACAGUUCGGUCCCUAUCCGUCGCGGGCGUAGGAAAUUUGAGAGGAGCUGUCCUUAGUACGAGAGGACCGGGAUGGACUGACCUCUGGUGUACCAGUUGUUCCGCCAGGAGCACAGCUGGGUAGCUAAGUCGGGAAUGGAUAAACGCUGAAAGCAUCUAAGCGUGAAGCCAACCUCAAGAUUAGAUUUCCCAUAGCAUAAGCUAGUAAGAUCCCUUGAAGAACACAAGGUUGAUAGGUCGGGGGUGUAAGCAUGGUAACAUGUUCAGCUGACCGAUACUAAUAGAUCGAGGGCUUGACCAA